AAUUUAAAGUAGUUUGAAUAUGGAAGUUCGGUUAAAUUCCGAGACGGUCCCGCCACUGUAAUCAUGCGAAAGGCAUGGAGUCAGGUCUUUAUUCAAGCAUACUCAUCCGACAUACUAUUUCGAGGUAAAAUAGUG
Molecule: small RNA, 135 nt
Filed under: Ruoffia tabacinasalis
Lineage: Bacteria; Bacillati; Bacillota; Bacilli; Lactobacillales; Aerococcaceae
Source: RNAcentral